Molecule: long non-coding RNA, 4148 nt
Filed under: Sorghum bicolor (sorghum)
Lineage: Eukaryota; Viridiplantae; Streptophyta; Magnoliopsida; Poales; Poaceae
Description: long non-coding RNA (SBIC_LNC009087)
Source: RNAcentral
CAUUACUUCCAUAAUAACCUCCUUGAUUCUGGCAUGCACAUAAGUAGAGACCAAACAUGCUUUGAGUUACAACCUUAUUUGAUCUAACUAAUUAACUCAACAUGUUCAUUUCUUUAUGCUUGUUCCUAGCGUUACUUUCUUUGCCUUAUAGCCUUUAACUCAAUGAUCUAGAAUGUUGAGCAUCCUGUCCUUGGAAGAUGAUAGUCAUAAUCAUGAAGUUAUAUGCAUAUGUAGACUAUCCUUCCAUAAGGUUGAUUAAUCUGAUCUGCCAAGUGUGUUUAAUGCCACAUUUCUGCUCAUUGCUUGAUGCUAUUGCCCAUGUUUAGAUAGAGCAUAACAUAUGAAUAACAAAUUUAUCUCGUUCAAUGUGCCUAAGGUUAGGGAAUAAGGAACAAACCUUUUGGUUUUAUUGGUGGUUUCCCAUCAACAGAGCCCAUGCACUUGAUCUCUGCCUUGUCUCUAUGAGCAAGACACACUUUAGUCAACUCCUCGAGAAUCCUACAAGUGAAGAUCCUAGACUUAUGAACAUGCACACUGAGCGAAGAUGCUACUAGCUCCUAGAACUAGGACUUGACUCACCUGUGGGAAGAGCAAUAACCAUGGGUGACAUCAUCUCAAGAGGUGCAACUAUCAUGGUCUCUACCCUUGGGACCAGAUAAAGCACAUGAGGAAUUAACAUGGUAAGAAGGUCCUCUUCGGAGGACUUAAAAUCACAGAACGCCGCGCCAAGAGGUAACUUGGUAUUUAUCUACAUUUUUCCUUUAGCAUAUUUAUUUUUCUUAACUACAUCAUUAAUUGCAUCUUUAAUUUAUUUCUACUUUAGAAAAGAAAAUAAACAUGUUUUGCAUUGCAUCUAGAAAAUACUAAGUCCCAUGUAUUUAAUAUGUGGUGCAACAGCUCACAUACUUAUCUACUGUGGAGGCACAAAAAUAAUUUUUAGCAUAUUUAUUUCCCUGUCUACAUACCAUAAAUAUGAAAAGUAUAAAAAUAUUUUGAUCCCACUAAAAGACAAAUGGGCAUAAGAAAGUUCUAGACUCCCAAGGCUUAGAGGUUUAUUACUAAUGCUUAAUUAGUUCUACAAGCUUUGUUGUGUAUUUGAACUUCACAGGCUUUAAAGGAUCAUGAAAAAUUAACAGGCAGAAGAACAUCCUGUCCCCUGGCAGAGUACUGUUUACAGCAGACAAGUGUUGUUUCUAAUAGCAAGCACCCACGACACUCCAUGAGGAUCAGUACGCCUUCAUUGCCCGUCAGCAGCCUCAGCAGACUAUGUCAGCAUCUAGUUUGGGGGAGAGCAAUCCCCGUAUACCGAGCUAAGUAUCCCUUACUCACUUAUCUAUUUAUUCCUAGUGCGUUAUGACAAGAUAAAAAGAUGAAUAACUUUAGAAAUCCAAUAAAUAUUUUAUCUUUCAUAAUUAAUCUUGCUAGGAGAGCUCUUGAUGAAUCUGUUAAAAUGAAUCUCUAGAAUAAACUCUUACAUGGAGAUGAUGAAUAGUUGCUCUACUGUAAUUCCUUGUAGGUACCUAGUUUUCAACCUUGUACUCUCUUGAGUUUUAGACACAACUGUUAAACUUAAGAUUUUUCUCUAAGCCAAGAACUUGUGGGUAGCAAAUGCUUGAUCUAAGUCUAGGUAGUUGAUGGAUAUGAUAUGGGAAGGUUUUUGAGCUGCUAUUAAUCUUGCUCCUAGAGAUGCUAGAGUUCUGGAGAAUUUUAUUUUGAAAAUAUUAAAUUGCUACAUGAUGAGUUCCUUUAUGAUGAGAGUUUAAAUUCCUACCAUAGCCAAAUACUCAUACUUGCUAGAUUAGGAAAACCUCCACUUAUAUUUCAACCUAUAAACAUUGAGGGUAGUUAAGCUGUGUAGACUCUAAGAAACUAGUCAUGCAGUUAAAGUCAAUAUUAUGUGCUCUCCAUCCAUUGACCUUAGCUACUUCUGUCCCUAGAAGUAUGUAACCACUUACUUCCACCAUAUUCAUUAUGUGCUACUUCUGUUCCUAGAAGUACCACCCACAUAUACGCAUUACACUCUGUGUUAUUUCUAUCAUGGAGACAUGCACCUAUGAUGCUCCUACCCUGGGAGUACGCAUUCAUUCACCCAUACACAUUCCACAUCCACUCAGAAAAUGUUCUACUCCUACACUUGGAGAAGACACCCAAAAAUAUUCAAUGUCAUAUUCUACUAAUCUAAUAAAGCUCCAGUUAUUUAAGUUGAUACUCCCUAUUGUUAUCAGUGCAAUAAAAGGAUGGCUGAUCUAUAAAAAAAGAGACAAAAAGAAAGAAAGAGGACAAAAGUCCCAAUGAAAAAAAAAAGAAAGACAACCAAGUCCUUGUUCUUAGAUUAGGAAGGUAUGUUAUCCUCAAGGAGCAAUUGUAGAAUUAGAUGUUCACUAUCAAUUAUCACCCCUCAUAACCACUUCCAUUCUUAUCACUCACUUCAUUCACUGCACUCAUAUGUACAUAUGACUUGAUUGUAUAAUUAGUUUCUCUGGAUCCAUGGUUUAACUAUGCAAUAUAUGCAAAUAGGUUUGAAUUGUUGUCGCACCCAGUUUUGUUAACAAAACCAAGUACUCAAAUAUGUGCGCCUAGGAUGUCCAAACACACAUACUAUCACAAAUUGUAAAUAUAUCAAAGUAAAGUACUUUAUUACAUCGUAUAUUCAUCAUAACAUCUCAUAUAGUCUUGCUCACUGGCAACAUUAUUACACAAAGCGGAAAGCUAAGCCCUUGUUGCCACAGGGACCCCAAAUGGUGAACUCCAGCACUCUAGAAGUAGACAUCUUCAGGGAAUUCCUCAUUACAAACAUCUGUUACCCAUCCAGGAUUUUCAUUGAAUUAUAAACAAGUGUAAGCGCACCAUGCUUAGCAAGUAUAACAUAGGGGUAUAUGAAGGAUCAAAGGCUUGACUCAGUUUAACAGUAGUUAGCAUUUUUAGUUGGUCAUAUUUUAUUAUCAAAACUUUAUACUUUUAAUGAUAAUCCAACCCUGGUUGCAUAAGUUUUAAUCAAAGUUAAUACUUUUCCCAAAUGAGACCAAGUAACUGCUAACCAAGAAGGAUCCAGGCCGCUCAUGACCGAGAGCUCGGCUAUUAUAACAGGUUUUAGAUUUCUGUAGAAAUUGUACGACUUUACCCCCGAGCCAUGAUUCCCAAGAGUCAGGGUUUGCAAGGCCCACACCACUUCUCCAGAGGAAGUGUGAUAGGGUUUCACCACUUAACCUUUCACUAGUCACCCUAACAAAAUAGUAGCCGCGAGGUUUCAGUGGCAAGUGUGCACAGAUGACCUCCUUCAAGAGGCACAUGUGGUCGUGGCACUGUACACACCAUGGUAGGAGAGACACCUAUACACCACGAGGCACCCACCUCUAGCACCUUUCGGUAACCACUAAUUUGCUAGAGACAUACUAGUUAUAUGAUUAAGGUCAGAGCCAUUUAACUCUCGGGAUUGUACGUGACCUCCAAGGUGGCCGCUUCAGGAAUAAGUCCUUAUGGAGAGGAAUCUAGAGCUUUCAAAACCCAAGCUCUAGCCCCCUGAACCAAGUUACUAGAACAUAUUUUAUCAUAUUGCAUAUACCAAUUAAUCAGGUUAAUUUAUUAACUUGGGUUUUAGCAUAGCAGCAGCUAUCUAAAUAAAUGCACACCUUCCCAUUAGUAUCAAGGAUAUAUGGUACAAAAUUAUCUUGGUAAAGUCCCUAUAGACAUUUCAAUUCAGACACAUGCAUAUAUAUAUGCAUUAAAUAAUAUUCAUAGGUACAAGGAAUGCCUUUGUUACACUUGCCUUCCUCAAAAGUUUCCUCCUGGUAGAGCUCAACAAACUGCUCCUCAACAACCCCAACCUGAUCUCCUUCUAUUCCUGAUCCAAACACCAAUCAAGCAUUCAAUCCAAUCAUCACAUGCAUACAAAUAUUGUUCUAUUAGAACAGUACAACAAACAGUAAAAACAGUGAAAGAGAUGUAUGUAAAUCUAUUCUACGCAUUUCUACGAACACAUGAGCGAAAGAAUCACUUUAAUCAGAGUUAAAACGUGAAAGUUAUGCAUAAAACAAGUUGAAUGGUAUUUCUAUGAAUAAAAUGAAUCAAAAAAGAAUUUAAAAGAAUGAAAACUGAAUUUUCUAACGGUUCUGGACUACGCGCACUAUUAUAGAAAAGUGCAAUGUUUA